This 692-nucleotide ribosomal RNA is filed under the name Panonychus mori. RNAcentral's name for it is "eukaryotic LSU rRNA". It matches the Rfam family "Eukaryotic large subunit ribosomal RNA", at positions 2403 to 2886 of the family's 3401-position model. The record is from RNAcentral. Lineage: Eukaryota; Metazoa; Arthropoda; Arachnida; Trombidiformes; Tetranychidae.
AAAGAAGACCCUGUUGAGCUUGACUCUAGUCUGACUUUGUGAAGAGACAUGAGAGGUGUAGCAUAAGUGGGAGCUUUGGGAUCAAUCUUGACUAGAGUUUCGGCUUUAGUUGAGACCCCAUUGCGCCAAUGAAAUACCACUACUCUCAUCGUUUCUUUACUUACACGGUGAAAAGGAAAUUGUGAUAGUGUCUCUCUCUUCUGGACUUCGGUUCAUGAACGAGGAGGCCACCUAUCACUAAAUUCUAGAGCAAAAUGUGGUUCCAACCAUACAUGCCUUUGACACCUAGAGUAUCUCUUGUUCUUUCGGGGACUUGAGUACUUUAAAGACAAAGGUUUGGUUGGUAACCAGUGUAACUUGUACUUUACUGUACAAGAUCUACACAACCGCAUAAUCCCAACCGUGGACAUUGUCAGGUUGGGGGUUUGACUGGGGCGGUACAUCUGUCAAAAGGUAACGCAGGUGUCCUAAGGCCAGCUCAGUGAGGCCAGAAACCUCACGUAGAGCAAAAGGGCAAAAGCUGGCUUGAUCCAGACUUUCAGUACGAAUACGGACCGCGAAAGCGGGGCCUAUCGAUCCUUUCGAUGAAUGAGAGUUUCAUCCGAGAGGUGUCAGAAAAGUUACCACAGGGAUAACUGGCUUGUGGCAGCCAAGCGUUCAUAGCGACGUUGCUUUUUGAUCCUUCGAUGUCG